GACGUAGGGCGCGAGCGUUGUCCGGAUUUAUUGGGCGUAAAGAGCGUGUAGGCGGCCAGGGAGGUCCGUUGUGAAAACUCGAGGCUCAACCUCGAGACGUCGGUGGAAACCGUUUGGCUAGAGUCCGGAAGAGGAGAGUGGAAUUCCCGGUGUAGCGGUGAAAUGCGCAGAUAUCGGGAAGAACACCCGUGGCGAAGGCGGCUCUCUGGGACGGUACUGACGCUGAGACGCGAAAGCGUGGGGAGCGAACAGG
This 253-nucleotide ribosomal RNA is filed under the name uncultured bacterium. RNAcentral describes it as "partial 16S ribosomal RNA". It matches the Rfam family "Bacterial small subunit ribosomal RNA", at positions 524 to 776 of the family's 1533-position model. The record is from RNAcentral.